This 303-nucleotide ribosomal RNA is filed under the name uncultured bacterium. RNAcentral's name for it is "partial 16S ribosomal RNA". It matches the Rfam family "Bacterial small subunit ribosomal RNA", at positions 507 to 807 of the family's 1533-position model. The record is from RNAcentral.
AGCAGUAGCCGCGGUAAUACGGAGGGUGCAAGCGUUAUCCGGAUUCACUGGGUUUAAAGGGUGCGUAGGCGGAUCUGUAAGUCAGUGGUGAAAUCUCCAGGCUUAACCUGGAAACUGCCGUUGAUACUAUAGGUCUUGAAUUUUGUGGAGGUUAGCGGAAUAUGUCAUGUAGCGGUGAAAUGCAUAGAUAUGACAUAGAACACCAAUUGCGAAGGCAGCUGGCUACACAACUAUUGACGCUGAGGCACGAAAGCGUGGGGAUCAAACAGGAUUAGAUACCCCCGUAGUCCCUGUCUCUUAUAC